GGAUGACGUCAAGUCAUCAUGGCCCUUACGACCAGGGCUACACACGUGCUACAAUGGCGCAUACAAAGAGAAGCGACCUCGCGAGAGCAAGCGGACCUCAUAAAGUGCGUCGUAGUCCGGAUUGGAGUCUGCAACUCGACUCCAUGAAGUCGGAAUCGCUAGUAAUCGUGGAUCAGAAUGCCACGGUGAAUACGUUCCCGGGCCUUGUACACACCGCCCGUCACACCAUGGGAGUGGGUUGCAAAAGAAGUAGGUAGCUUAACCUUCGGGAGGGCGCUUACCACUUUGUGAUUCAUGACUGGGGUGAAGUCGUAACAAGGUAACCGUAGGGGAACCUGCGGUUGGA
This 346-nucleotide ribosomal RNA is filed under the name Escherichia coli. RNAcentral's name for it is "partial 16S ribosomal RNA". It matches the Rfam family "Bacterial small subunit ribosomal RNA", at positions 1177 to 1522 of the family's 1533-position model. Lineage: Bacteria; Pseudomonadati; Pseudomonadota; Gammaproteobacteria; Enterobacterales; Enterobacteriaceae. RNAcentral also lists the same sequence under 1 other name. The record is from RNAcentral.